AUGGUGAAGCUCCCACCCGGAGGGACUGCAAUGGCGGCCGCCGGUGCCGCAGACGACGAAGCAUCCACCAUCGCGGUCGCAUCGUGCCGCGUCGCAGCAACCCCGUCGUCAUCGUGCUGCAUGUACAACAUCCGCCCGUCGCCGUCGCGCUGCGAUGGAGCAGCAAUAAGCGGUGGGGCGCUGCAGUGCAACUCCGUCGGCGGCACCGUCGGGGUGCUGCGGUGGAGCCCGUCCUGCCGGUGCGGGCUGCAGCGAAACAUCGUCGGUGGCGUCAGGUGCUGCGAUGGAGCAUCGAUGGACCACCUCCGCGCCGGCGUCAGCGCUGCAGUGAAGCAUCGCCGGGGACGGCGGGUGCUGCGAUGGAGCGCCAAGGGGGGGCGUUGA
RNAcentral lists this ribosomal RNA (384 nucleotides) under Triticum aestivum (bread wheat). RNAcentral's name for it is "partial small subunit ribosomal RNA". The record is from RNAcentral. Lineage: Eukaryota; Viridiplantae; Streptophyta; Magnoliopsida; Poales; Poaceae.